This 207-nucleotide ribosomal RNA is filed under the name uncultured bacterium. Its description in RNAcentral is "partial 16S ribosomal RNA". It matches the Rfam family "Bacterial small subunit ribosomal RNA", at positions 568 to 774 of the family's 1533-position model. The record is from RNAcentral.
CACGUAGGCGGGUUGUUAAGUCAGGGGUGAAAUCCCGGAGCUCAACUCCGGAACUGCCUUUGAUACUGGCAAUCUAGAGACUGGAAGAGGUUAGUGGAAUUCCCAGUGUAGAGGUGAAAUUCGUAGAUAUUGGGAAGAACACCAGUGGCGAAGGCGGCUAACUGGUCCAGUACUGACGCUGAGGUGCGAAAGCGUAGGGAGCAAACA